Molecule: long non-coding RNA, 343 nt
Filed under: Pan troglodytes (chimpanzee)
Lineage: Eukaryota; Metazoa; Chordata; Mammalia; Primates; Hominidae
Description: lncRNA (ENSPTRG00000053705.1)
Source: RNAcentral
CUCAAGGAGGAGGGAGAGGAGAAAUGAGGAAAAAAAGCCAAAUUUUUUCCUUCAAAGGGUACCUUGGGACAGAGGGAGUGCAGAGCAGAGAAAACCUACCUGUGCAACUGAGAAGGCCGCUCAGGCCACGGGGACCGGGCAGGAAUGCUCUCAGGAGUGUCCUCUGCACCUGAACUUGAUUUCACGCCAUCACCUUCCGCCUCUUAACCAGCAUCUCCUGGACAGUCAGCCGAGUGUUUCCAUGAUACCAGCCAUACCUGAUGCCAGGAGACUCGCUACACUUGGAAGCUCUUCAAGAUGUGUAUUGAAUUUGCAGAAGGCCUCUUUUCCAAAUGAUCAAUGA